GUGAUGACCGGCUUCGGCGGCGGCUGGAACGCUCCGGGCUCAGAAGGCCCAGUGCUGUGCUGCCGGACAGGCCCCGCGUGGACCCCUGCGGGAGCGGACGACGAAGAAAUUCAAUUUCGAAAAAUGAAAACUUAUGGAUGGAAUGAAGAAAUAACUAUGCAAGACAUUGAGAGACAUGGGUUAUGAAGGCUCCAGCGUUACUGAAUUUGUACUCGGCUUGCCGAGGUUUGGUUCAGCUCCACAUCAGGGAGGGCCCACGUGGAGACUCAAGAUCAG
Long non-coding RNA from Piliocolobus tephrosceles (Ugandan red Colobus), 276 nucleotides. RefSeq lists it as uncharacterized. Lineage: Eukaryota; Metazoa; Chordata; Mammalia; Primates; Cercopithecidae. The record is from RefSeq and is a predicted model, not a curated record. The transcript has 3 exons.